RNAcentral lists this ribosomal RNA (405 nucleotides) under uncultured bacterium. Its description in RNAcentral is "bacterial SSU rRNA". It matches the Rfam family "Bacterial small subunit ribosomal RNA", at positions 355 to 774 of the family's 1533-position model. The record is from RNAcentral. RNAcentral also lists the same sequence under 1 other name.
UGGGGAAUAUUGCGCAAUGGGGGAAACCCUGACGCAGCAACGCCGCGUGAUUGAAGAAGGCCUUCGGGUUGUAAAGAUCUUUAAUCAGGGACGAAACAAAUGACGGUACCUGAAGAAUAAGCUCCGGCUAACUACGUGCCAGCAGCCGCGGUAAUACGUAGGGAGCAAGCGUUAUCCGGAUUUACUGGGUGUAAAGGGCGCGCAGGCGGGCCGGCAAGUUGGAAGUGAAAUCUAUGGGCUUAACCCAUAAACUGCUUUCAAAACUGCUGGUCUUGAGUGAUGGAGAGGCAGGCGGAAUUCCGUGUGUAGCGGUGAAAUGCGUAGAUAUACGGAGGAACACCAGUGGCGAAGGCGGCCUGCUGGACAUUAACUGACGCUGAGGCGCGAAAGCGUGGGGAGCAAACA